GGCUGAGAGGAGCUGCUGAUGGUCACGAUUGCUGGACCGAAAGAGGAGAUGGGCCGAUCAUGCUGCUGGAUGUGUGGCUGCAACAACGAGGGAGAGAUAACGGGCGACGGAGAGGGAAGAACAAAGGGGCAACUGGCGUCAUUUGCUGGUGGUCAACGAAGGGGAAGGGGGGUUGUUGUUGUUGACCGAGAAAACAUAGCUUGGUGGAGAAGCAAGCAUAAGGGAGAGAGAUAUGUGAGGAAAAUGAAAAUGAAGACCGAAGGGGAGGUGUCG
Molecule: long non-coding RNA, 273 nt
Filed under: Eucalyptus grandis
Lineage: Eukaryota; Viridiplantae; Streptophyta; Magnoliopsida; Myrtales; Myrtaceae
Description: long non-coding RNA (EGRA_LNC004725)
Source: RNAcentral